This is a long non-coding RNA of Mus musculus (house mouse), 5810 nucleotides long. RefSeq annotates it as predicted gene, 30774. The record is from RefSeq and is a predicted model, not a curated record. The transcript has 4 exons. NCBI's taxonomy places the organism in Eukaryota, Metazoa, Chordata, Mammalia, Rodentia, Muridae.
CUAAGUUUGACAAAAAGCAGAGCUCACUCGGAAUGGAGAGGAAGCAUGGGCUCAAAUGGGCAGCAGAAGGCAGAUAAGAAAGGAUGUGAGGGAGCCGCUGGGCCUCCCACAGGUGACUCCUGCUCAUUUGGGGGAAAUGUCAGCCAGGCUCUGGUGCACCCUUCUGAUCUCUUGCAAAAAUGACAAAUUCACAACCUGGCAGACCACAGUUCCCCAUUUCUAUAAGCAUGUUCUUUGGCCUCUGUUUUUAUGCUCACACUCUGCCACAUCCCUUGGCAUCCUAGCCUCCCAUUUCCUGUCUUGGCAAAAAAAUGCUGGAGGAAUCUGGGCAAUGACAAGGGACAAAUCCGCUCCUCUUAGUGACAUCUCUAAAGAGCCAGAGAAGCAUCCCUUCUGGAAAGAAAGGUCCCAAGAUCCCUUCCACACACACCACAGUGGCUGGUGUGACCAGGAGACCACGGACUGUGUCUGAAGACAGAGCAUAUAAAUCUCCGCUUUACAGAAAACUCCUUCAUCAUUUUGAUCCUCCGUGUGUUUACAAAUUGGAGGAUAUUCUAACAACUCACGUUUGGAAGAAGAGGAGGCCCCCAAUGGCACAUCAAGUUGCAGCAGGACUAAGUGCAUCCUCUCUCACUGAAGCCAGACAAGGCAGCCCAGCAGGGAGAAGUGGAUCCAAAGGCAGGCAACAGAGUCAGAGACAGCCUCCCUCCCCCACUCUAAUGGCUAGCAAGCAUAACUGUCUCCUGAGAGACUUAAUCCAGUAGCAGAUGGAAACAGAUGCGGAGACCUACAACCAAACAUCAGGUUCUCAAGAUGACUUGUGGAAGAGUGGAGACCAGGAUUGAGAGAGCAGGAGGAAUCAAGCACAUCACAAGAAGACCUACAGAGCCAAUAAACCUGGGCCCAUGGGGACUCACAGAGACUGAACCAACAACCAAAGAGCCUUACCUUUCUAAGAAAACUAAUUGGACAUAAGCCUAGGAGACAGCCAAGAGAAAAGUCAUCACUCUGGAGCCGCAUGUGUGUGAGGAGAGCUUCUCCCACUACUUGCAUAGCUACAAGACAUCACCUGAUUCCGAUCCCACCACCUUAUCAAGUGAGAUUAUUAAAUCAAGUAAAUUCCUCUCCCCCAUCUGCAUGGAAGAAAAUUCACAUUGCAAAACCAUUAGCAGGACAGAGAAACAGACAUACAACAUCCUGAAGCAGAACAUUUAGAAGUCUCUGAUAGAAAUAUAAUGGAGGGUCUGGUGAACAUUUGAAAACCCCUCUAUCUCAGAAGAAUGAGAACUCAUAUGAAAACGUGAGAAACAUCUGGAUUGUGAGCUCAGGUUGGAAUACCUCACCCUUUGCACGCGAGAGAUUCUCCAGGUUUGCUCCUUGUCAUGAACACUUGAAAAGAAGCCCUAUUGCGGACCGUCAAUCAGUGACGCUGGUAAAAUAACAAAACAAGACUGCCUGCUGGGACUUGGAUGUAAAAAGCAGUAUGGGCUUACGUGUUUGAACACUGGCGUUUGAACUUGCCAGCUGGUGGCGCUGUCUUGAAGGCUUGUGGAACGUCUAAGAGACCUCUUACCGAAGGAAGUAAGUCACUGGGGGUAGGCAAGCUUAAGGAUUUUACAACCUCACCACAAGCUCUGCAUCUUGAUUGCAAAAGAAAUAUGAACAGCUCCCUCGAGUUCCUGCCUCUCAGCCUUCCCGAUCAUGGUGGACUACACCCACAGACUGCUAAUGUUUGUUUGUUUGUUUGUUUGUUUGUUUGUUUGUUUCGAGACGUGGUUUCUCUGUAUAGCCCCGGCUGUCCUGGAACUCACUUUGUAGACCAGGCUGACCUCAAACUCAGAAAUCCAACUCCCAAAGUACUGAGAUCAAAGGCGUGCGCCACCACCGCCUGGCCAGACGACGAAUUUAAUGAGAACCUUUCUUUCCUAACCAAGCAAGGUCACAGCCAUGAGGAAAGCCAUAAAUACAACGGCUGGCCAACACUGCAGACCCUCUCUGUGCUCCUCCAAGAACCCAAAGUAAAGUACUAAAAUAGUAAUUAUUUAUUUUUCUAUCUUGAUUCCACCAAUCUAACCCUGAAGUUCCUGCUAUAAUAUAUUUAAGUGGCCACCAGUGCGAUUGCUUUUGAUUAUAAACUAAUACCGGGUUGAUUAUAAGCUAAUACAAAUGCCUCUGUAAGAAUAACAAAGCAGAGAAAACUACACUUCAAUUCAAAGAUAGAAGGAGUCGAUUUCCUGAAUAUUCAAAGGAUACUUCUGGGGCAGAACAAAUGUAAUGAGAAAAAGAGGAGCAAAUAUCUGAUUUUUCAUUCUGAGGAAUAUUCUAGAGGACGUUUGUGUCUAAGAUACAAGAACAAGUUGACAUGAGACUGUAAAUCUAAGACCAUAAAAAAUGGAAAAUAUAUGAAAUGCAUAGUAAUAGGUAUGAAACUUGGCAGUUACCAACAGCAGGCAGGAUUCAGCAGAAAUUGAAUUAUUUAAAUUGAAACAAAAAUAGAGAAUUUACCUAGAAUGCAAUAAGAAAUAGAUUUUUUUUUAAGUGACAAAAACUUUUUUGGGGAAGGAGAGGAAGGGAAGAAGAGAAGAGAAGAGAAGGAAGAAAAUAGUGGUAAUAUAUUGAGAAAAGGCCUUAUUCUGUACAAUACCUAUGUCUCCAUCUUCUGUCACUACCUACCUCUACUGUCGCCGUGAGUAGCCCUCCACUUCUUCUUCUCACCCAAAUGUUGCUACACAGAUUCUAACACUUGUUUCUCGGGCCAGGAAACACUUCUGUGUUCCAGCCUCUGUUCCUCAUCCCUGAUAUUGAGAGCUGAGGUCAGUCUUGCCUGUCAAACCUCCUUUUCAAGUCCUCUUCGAAUGAAUAGAGGGUAUGACUGAACUCUUGACGGGGUGCUGCUAAUUUCCACACAAGCCAGACAAUGUACUAAAAUAUAUUUUAGACUAGAUAGUACUCAAUAAUUCCCAUUUAGUCUCAAUUUUUGUAAUUACAGAAGUGAUGCCUAAUAAUUACAGAAAAUGUUAAUAACUUAAGAGUCCCAUGGCUCAGAAAUGCUGGCGUCCUUCUUUGAAUAUUUUAUUGUUCAGGUCUUCCACGAGGCUUUUAUAAGUGAUAUAUUAAGGUAUAACUGACUUACAAAUCGUUGGACAUAUUUAUGUAAAAUUUGAUAAGAUUUGAUGACACAUAAACCUUUGACCAAAAGUAAGACGAGGGGCUACCCACAAAUAUCUCCUCAGGUUGCUUCAUGAUUUUCACCCUGCCUUCAUGCUGGCCCUCCAUCUCCAGACAGCGACCCAUCUGCUUUCUUGUACAGUAGCUUAUUCUAAAAUUUAGUAAACAUAGAAACACAUAGUAUGAAUUUUUGUCAGGAUUUUCUCUCUCAGUGCAAUUUCUCAGUAACAGUCUUUUUCAUUCUAUCUACGGCAUCUUCAUACAUUUGUAUUAUGCUUUGUUUCUGCGAGCUCUUCUCCCCAUGAGCCCCUCCUUACCCAGGUUAGUCUCCCUUUCUGCUAUCAUGUUUCUUCUUCCUAUACCCCUUCAAAUCUCUGCCUUCCCUCACAUGAGCCCUGGCCUACUCAUACACCUAUAUAUAAAUGCACCCAUAUAUGUAUGUAUAUGUGUGUAUAAUAUAUAUAUAACAUAUGUGCACAUAUAUUACAUAUAUAUAUAUAUAAUUUUAAAUGUAGCUCCCCAAUAUAAGAAAACAUGUGGUAUUUGUCUGAGUCUGUCUUAUUUCAUUUCAUAAUGAUUUCCAGUUGCAACCAUUUUUCUGUAAGUGUCAUGAUGUCAGUUUUUUUCUAAUGCAUAAUAUCCUUUCAAUACACAAACUAUGCUUUUUCAACCCAUUCGUUUUUUUGAUGGACAGAAGGCUGCUUCCACUUUCCAGCUAUUGCAAGGAGUACAGCAAUAAGCAUGGACUUCAGUACAGUUCAUCUAAGGUUUACUAAUGUCUAUACCAAUAAUUUCUUUGAUUUUGUUGCUGAUCAAUAUCUCAGUGUAUGAAAACAUGACAGUUUAUCUGUUCAUGGGUCAGUAAAUGCUAGUGUUGUCUCCUAUUUUUUCACUAUUGUAAAUAGAGUUGCUAUGAACAUUGGGGCUACAUCUGCAUAAGGAUCUAUGUCCUCAUUUUUACUGCAUAGCUACAGAAGAGGAAUGCCUAGAUCACAGAGUAGGUAUUGUCUUUAAUUAUAAUAAACCACUUUCCAUAAUGAUUUAUUUUCUGUGUUCUCACCAGCAGAGAGGGAGAGCUCCGGUUCUUUUCCAGCUCGGCUUGCUCCUCUAAUAGUGUUUUCUUUGUAUCUUUUGAGAUUAUAAUUUAAUUACAGCAUUCAUCCUUUUCCUUUAUUCCCUCUAAACCUCUUCAUAUACCCAUUCCCCUCUUCUUCAAAUCAUUAACCACUUUUUUUUGCAGUGUGUGCACUUAUAUGCAUGUUUUCAGGGCUGACUGUUUGGCCCUGGGCAACCACUUGGUGUGUUUCCUCGGUUGCCUAUAGUUCUUUAUGUAGGGUUGAGGUCUCAUUGGCUUUUCCCCUCUCCAGUUUGGAAUGCCCUGUGGUGUCAUCUUUCUUCAGCUCAAGUCUGUGCCUUUAAGUUGGUGAGAUUUUAUAGGCGUAGCUUCUGAUAUGACUAGGAGACACAAUUUCACAGAAAAUUCCUUAAACCCCUGCCUCUUACAACUUUUCUUCACCCUCUUGCACAAUGUUCCCUGAGCCUUAAUUGUGGUAAUGUUUUACAGAUGUACCAUUGCUCCUGGGCUCCAUGACUCUGCAUUUUGAUUGGUUGUGGUUUUCUAUAAAGAUCACUUUGUUCGUUGCAAAGACACGGUUCCUUGAUGAGGGAUAUGAAAACAACUGUUUAUAGACUGUUUUCAGAGAGUAUCCUGGUUUAGUAAUGUUUCGUUGUAGAUUCUCCUCCAUUAGGACUUCACUGGCACUGAGUAGUUAGCUAGGUUUCCAGUAUUAAGCAUAGUGUCCCUCUUACUGGGUGGGUCUUAUGUCUAAUUUGAGAGCUGUUGGUUACCACUAAUGUAUGUGUGCCACUACUACACCCUUAGGACUAUUGUAUGAUGCUGGUCAUUUAAAUGUUUCAUGAGCAUCAUCACUUAAUGGUCUUUUUGAUCAUAAUAAUUUUAAAAGUUCUCUAUUUGUUGUCGUGUUGUGUUAUAAUAUGUAUUUUCCAAAUAAAACAUAUGCUGAGCAUGUUUAUAUGCAUAUUUUCUGUGUAUCUUUUUGUAAUAUAUAUGUUCAAAUCUUAUGCCCAUUUUCAGUUGAAUACUUCAUUUUAUUUUUAAUUUUAAACCCUGGCUGUAUACACAAGAUAAGGCACUUUUAUGAAAUAUAUGAGUGACAGAUAUCUCUCAGCCUGUGCCAUAUACUACUGUGACCUUACUAAAUCCUUUGAGAUUCAGGGGUUUUCAAUACUGAUGAAUCUAACUUAUCUAAAUAACUAUUACCUAGCUAACAAUCACAAAAACGUCUGUCUCUUUUCCUGCAUACAUCUUAUAGAUGUUAUUUAGAUAGUUAUAUCUAUUAUUAUUAUUUUAUGUUAAGCCAUUUUAGGUGUGAAAUAUAAGCUAAAAUUUAUCUUUUGCAUAUGAAUUUUUUUAUUUUCCAGGCACCAUUUAUUAAACAGAUGUUUGUUCUACAUGUAAUUUACAUAGGGCAGAAAAAAUAAUGUACAAAUAUGUGUAGGCUGAUUUCCAAACUGCUUAUUCUGUUCCAUUAAUCUGUUUCUCAGCCUUGUCCUCACUACCACAGUCCUGAUUACUGAAGCUUUAUUAUAACACUUGAAAUAAAGUGCUCUUGCUCUUCCAA